Molecule: long non-coding RNA, 2970 nt
Organism: Oryzias melastigma (Indian medaka)
Lineage: Eukaryota; Metazoa; Chordata; Actinopteri; Beloniformes; Adrianichthyidae
Exons: 2
Source: RefSeq, a predicted model, not a curated record
UAUAAUAAUGAGUUACCUUCAACACUGGCAAACAUAAACUAUGCACUCAAUCCAAACAGGAAGCACACUUGAGGAUGUCAAUAAAUUAUUCAGCAGGGGCGUUCAGAGAUCAAUAGCAACACCUCAUGAUGGCAGCAGAGCAGUGGAGGAUUCUUUGUUGUGUUUUAGGGAAUAUAACAUCUGUGUACACUUGCAUUGUUUUGGAUUUUCCUGUUACCUGCAGGGAUUUCUGAAAAUGUGUUUCCAGCAUUUUUGUCAUGUUUUUUUCCAGCUGUGUUUUCUUUUUUACAUCAGGAUCACUGGAGUUUUCUUCACUCGAAGAUCACAAGUUAAAUCACAACCCCAUUGAAUCACUGAUGUCAGAGAGCGGCACGGCAGAUAUGUAUUCAUGAGAAAAUGUCAGGGAUUAGAAGUAGAGCAUUAAUGUGAAUAAAUGCCUGCAGCAGGAAACAGUAAUUCUCCCCCGAGGUUUGUAGAAACCAAAGAGAUGAGGUGGAUUUCACCCAUGAGACAUAACUUCCUCAUGUCUCAGUGAUUUAGUUUCUGUGGUGUUGGGCACAACUGCCUGUGUGAGCACAUGCUCUGGUUGAUGUGUGUUUGUGUGUGUUCUCAGCUUUGCUGACAUUUCCUCAAACGUGGCUGACAUUUCCAGGGGAUUUGAAGACUUGAUCCCGUCUGUGUUUGAAGAGCUGAGUGCCAACCUCCUCAAAAUACUGGGGGGAAAAAAAAAAAAAAAAAAAAAAAGAAAGAAACCGCAGCAGCACAGCCAGCAGUGUGCCCCCCCCUCCAGGCCCUUCGUCCUCAACAUUUGGUGCAGCCCAUCUUCAUUCACCUAUUUACGAUUGGGAGAAAAACUGCACUACGCAUGGCCUGCCUUAAGACAUGACAGGUUCACUGCUUGGUCUCUAACUUAGUCCUGCUGUUUUCCCCUGGGCUGAAGACUGUUUCUCCUCUUCUCAAGUGAAGCAGAAAAGCUAUCACCAAAAGAUAUGAGGGAAAAAAAGCAGAUAAAGAUAGAGUGGGAAGGGGAGAAAGCAACAUCGUGUGAGAAGGAGGGGGAAAGAUCUGUUUCUUCUGCUACAGGCUGGUUAGUCGAGCGAACUGACACACACUGACAUCUCUCUUCUACAGAGUUCCAGUUAAGAAGAGCUUAGCUACUUUUUUGUCCGUUGCUUUCUCUCUCGACCUUCCCCUUUUUUUUUACUCUUUCAGCUGUCCUGCCAUCUCUCUCGUCCUUCCUCUGCCCACCCCGAGGCUAUCAUGUCUUUCUUUUUCUGCCUGAAUGAACUGUGCAGCAGUCUUGUCCUAACCCCGGGCUCGUGUUACAACAUGCAUACACACACAUGCUGUAUUCUGCAUGCACACGCACACGGAAACCCACACGGCAGACUUGAGGAGGGCCAGGGGCCAAACACAGGUCAGACUCAGAGGCACUUCUCCCACUGACUUGACGGGUGUUUGAUAGAUGCAAUUUGACGCAAACAACCUUAUAUGAACACAACACAGUGUGCAUGCAUGCACCAGCCGUGCUUCCAGCUAUCUUAAGGCAGAUAAUACUUCAAUAUUUACUGGGACCUUUAAGGACUUUAAAUAUUCAUUUAGAAAGAAAGCUUGCAUUACCUCAUAAAAGUCUAACCCCAACCUCCAAUAAAAAGAGAACAAAAUUAAUGUGUUGAACUGUCAAUCAAACAAAAUAGCCAGCUUAAAGAUGACGUUAGAACCGAUGCUGGAAAUGACCUUAAAGCAGAACAGAACCAGCGUUUUGAAAUAUUGCUGAAGGGAUUCAGGAAGAAUCCGUAGUGUGUUUCUAGCUAAGAAAACUCAUGUUCGGCAUGAUGCUGGAUCUGAGCAGACUGGAAACUAGAGCUGACCUCAGCCCACACCAUGAUUCUGCCUUACAUGCAGCAGCGAUCCCUGCAGGUUAAAACAUGCUUGUCCUGGUUGACAGCAGAGCUCGAGUUCAGCACAUAAAUUAUUUCUAAGAGAACUACAUCACUUGUUACUCCUUGCUCAAGCUGGCCAUGAAAACUGGACAUGAGGGGGCAAAAGCUUCAAUCUUUAUUCAAAGAUUUCAGAUUACUGUUUCAGAAUAAUUAGAAUUAAAAAGUUAAAUGGAUAUUGUGGAAAAAAAGAAAAACAUUCUACUUUAAAACUGGUAGUUGAUCAAAAAUGACAUAAAAAUUGCAGCAUAUACACGUCUAAAACAUAAAUGCUCAUUUUCAUAUCGACGAGUACAUAGGGACUAAAUCCCACAAUCACAGCGGAACAUAACUUAAACCCAAGAUCUUUAACAGGAUGAGAGCACUAUUGAUUAGCCUCUUCCUGCAUUGAUCCGUUGUCAUUCGAUUGUCGUUUGUGUAUCUUGCAAAACACACAAUCUCGCAUCACAAAUGACAUUAACACAUUUGGCAUUUCUUUUUUCCUUGGAGUAAAAUACACAUUCAAAACAUACAAAGCUACGUUAUUUGUGAACACAGGUGGUUGAUGUUUAAAUAAAACAAAUAAAAAUGACAACCAUGUUCAAUAAUUGUAAGAAAUGGUAAAAACAUUAUAAUACAAAACAUCAGAUUAUUCAUAGAUUGAAAGGCUCAGAGGUAAGUGAAAUUGUGAACACAACGGUGUCAUGUAAAUAUGUACGCCUAAAGUCAAAAUCUUUAGGGUUAUAACAGAGCCCCCCCCGUCCCGCCAUUGUUGUUAGGCCACUAGGAAAAGAAAAGCUAGUAACUGGCAUUUUGAUAUAAAACUGCUAGAGGGACACAUCAGGAGGAGGUAGAGAGCUUUAAUAAACAAACUGACAGCCAGAAAGAGGCUGAAACUCUACUUACUUCAUAUAAUUCUACAAAUCAUUUUCUGCAGUCAAAGACCUCUAAACUAGUAAAAAAAAAAAAAAGGAAAGGGGGUGGGGGUCAUUAAGACAAGAAUUAAAGCAGUAAAAAUAAAAACACAACAAAUUAAUUAAAAAAAUAAAAA